This is a long non-coding RNA of Xiphophorus couchianus (Monterrey platyfish), 11038 nucleotides long. RefSeq lists it as uncharacterized. The transcript is spliced from 3 exons. The record is from RefSeq and is a predicted model, not a curated record. NCBI's taxonomy places the organism in Eukaryota, Metazoa, Chordata, Actinopteri, Cyprinodontiformes, Poeciliidae.
CAUAACUAUUAGACAAGCAGGCAAAUAAAAGAAGUCAACGCAAAAUACUAAACUCAAAGACAUAACUGACAUAAAACAGACUGACCUAACGUGAAAUGACACAUAAGGGCAUUUAAAUACUGGCUUAGCUAAACCAUGUUGACACAACAGGGGAAAACAAAAUAGCUGCCACAUGAAAACUAACACAAACCGAUUAAAUGUUUGCUGCUGAGGAAAGACUUUCACAUUUUGCAUGGAAAAUACCGUCAGACUCUGAGUGGCUUCUGUGGCCCACGAAACCACGGGGCCCUGCGUGGUGUCCAGGAUCUGCUUGCUUCCAGGUUGAGGUAGUAGAUUGUAUAGUUUAGAAUUACAUCCUGGGAGAUAACUGUACAACCUCCUAGUUUUCCCUGAGGUAGGCAUGGCACUCUUCACAGCCAGAUCGAUACAGUCCGCCUGCCACAGCCAGAUAAUGGCCCCUCACCAGGUCAUUAAAAAAAGCAGCCUAGAUAGGCUGCUUUUCUGAUGGAGUAGCAAUUUCUGCUGCUGUGGGUUGGCCUGCACUGUUCCUGAGCUUUGAUGCAUGUUGGGUUGGCACCUUUUGCAGUUGCAGAUUUAUUUUGGAUAUCACAACCAUCAUCUUUUUAAUAUAUGUGCUUAAAUCUAUUUCCCCACAUAAAAUAAAAGCUCAUCUCUCUGUUUUAAAUUUCAAACAUAACAAAGCAGAAGAAUCAAUCAGGACAAAUCAGAGGCAAAUCACAAAGCUUCAAGUUUUUGAUAUGACCAGAUUUUUUUUUUACCAAAACAAAUCUGGUAAAAAAUCAUGUGACAUCACAAUGAUUGUAUAUCAAAUAUAAUAUUUAUGGAUACUGUCCAAAAUGACAGCUAACCAGAAUGAUUCAUCUCUAUGUUUAAUAUCUCUCCUUUUUUGGUUGGUGAACAUUGUUGGUCUGAGCCAUUCCAGAGCCGAUGGGCUCGAUGUACGGCAGCUCCUAACCACAAUGAAAUGUCAGUGCAGCAUUUUAUUUACUAGCUGAUAACCUCAUUUAAACUGAUGAGUGUGUGGAAGAAGACAGGCCGCUUCUGUGAUUUAGCUCAUGUGCUGACAUAACAGUAAGAGAGAUCAAGGGGAGAGAGGAGCAAAAGAUGGAGACGGCAGCAGCAGCAGCAACGUCUCCAUCCGUUAAGCAGCUGUCAGUCAGAACAAUUAUUGUCACAAUAUUUCCAAUUGCCAGACGCAGUGUGUGUGGAAAGUACCACUCUCAUAAUAUCCUGACAUCCAAAAUAUUGUGACUGUAAUGGAGGAAGUGAAAAUGGGAGGAUAAUUCCUGCCAGUGCACCAGCAGACAGAAUCCUAUUUCUGGGCUUUCUUCUCCUCUGUCAGAGUGUUUUCUUUUAUGCCUAAGAUUGAAAUCAGAAAAGUGUCUCUGAGCUGAAAUCCUGUUGAAACCAAACACGCCAACAUCUGUCUGGUCUUAGCAGCGUGGCCAGGACGCUACUCGUUUUCCACUCUUUUCCUCCAGUGGGGUGCAUGUCAUUCCCAGCCUCUAACCUUCUCCAUGCAUCAGUGGGCAUGACAGCACCUUGAAGUCUUACAGUCCUGGAAUGGAGUUCUGUUCCAGCAGCUAAGGCCUUAAGAAGAGGAGCAAAAGACUGCCCCCUGUUGGUGUACUUUGUGAAAUGACCUUCAGUGACAAGAACAGCAGAUUUGACAAAGGAAAAAUAAAAUACAGCAUGUGUGAGUGCGACUGCAAGUGUGUAUGUUGAAUAUAUUAAUGUUAUGUUUGCUUUGUUUUGUGUCUAGUCUGCACCGUUCAAAAUAUGAACCCUAUUGAAGUGCGUGUGAAUAUGACGCUUCAUACAUGGUGCAUUUAAGCAGUCGGUAUGAGCAUGAGUGCAGGUUUGAGGUGUGCAUGCAGCGGAUAGGUGGUGAAACACUUCAGCAGUGGCUUAGCAGAAGUCAUGAUAACAAACAGAAAAGCUACAGAGUUUCUGCUUGUUUCAGCAUAGAGUGACAAGAGAUCUCUGAUAUCUAGACUCUACAACUAAACUCAGCUCGGAUUCACUCUGCAAACUUGAGGAUAGCAAGGGAGUUCACUAGAACACCAACUGUUCUCCUGCCAUAACUGAGUAAUUUCUUUUACAUCACUAACACCAUCAAUAGUAGUUAGCAGUGACGUUUUGCAGUUAUUUCUUUUUUAAAUUUCUUUCCAAAAGUCGUUAACAUUAUUAUUUCCUAACUUCCUUGCAAGACAGUCAAACCUCACAGUAUUUUCAUUUAUCUUUAGAAAUCUUAAAGCAUAUUUAAAAUUGGCAUUUCCCUGUUUUUAUACUCAAACAAGGAGCCAUGUCUCCUGUUUACCUGAAUCAAGCCAGGCUUUAAGAGCCUUUCUGGCUACUGCAUGAAGCUCUCUUACAUAGUCGUUCCAGCUUGGCUUGGUACUAUGUGAGCUGGUUUUAUACAGUGGCUUGCUUGAGGUAAGGAGGAACUUCACAACAUUCUCUUACAAAGUACAUAACUCAACACCUUGUUGCGGGUCGUUGCAGUUCAUAUCACGGUAUGAAAUUGCUCCCUUUGGUAAAUAUGUAUUGCUAAACAUAUUGUUCAUAUGAUCACAAUAAUCUAAUAGAUUUUUUUCAGUCAACUUAUCCCAUGCUAUUUAAAGUUGAUUUAACAACAAGAGUUGUCUAAACAUUGUUUUUUAAGGUAAGUAAUAUUGUAUUGUGAGUUUUAACAUAUUGUUGCAAUUUAAGCCAAAUAAUUAUUUCACAAUAUGUGAGAAAAAAACUUCCCUUUGAAGCAUUUGAAACAUUAUAAAUGAAACACUGAUAAAUACUCUGAUGUAUGACAUUGCCACCAGACAAAAUGUCAUGUUUCAAUUGUUAACUGUGUGCUCUAUGGAUACUUUUGUGUUUUAUGAUGUAAAACACUUUGAACUGCCUUGUUGCUGAAAUGUGCUAUACAAAUAAACUUGACGGAUUGGUUGAUUGAUGUAGGAGGCUCAGCAAGCUUGGGAAAGAAGGCGCUCUGGCAGAUCAACACAAAAAGCUGGCCUACAUGCAAAAUGCAUUUUCCAACAGAACAACCAUCCUAACAUGACAGGCAGUAGGGGACAUCAAAGCACUUCUUAGAACAGUCCAGAGCUUAAUGAAAUUUAGAACCUUCUAAGAUUUGAAGAUUAAUGUUCACAUUGCUCCUAUCUGAGGGUGCAUUCACACCAGCCUUGUUUGGUUCCAUUUUAAUCCAUAUCCAAUUUGUUGGCCUACUAGGUCCCUUUCAUUUGGGGGGGCAGGUAUGAAGGUAUAAUUGCAUAGAGCAAAGUCUAGUCCACCUAUAAACCUUGGUCUGGGUUCAGUUGAAGUGAACUCUGGUGCAGAUUGAAUGCAAGUGAAUGUCAAGCAAACAGAAGACCACUCAAAAAACAGGAAGCAGACUACAAAGCAUGGCAUUCUGGGUAAGUAUAACCAAAACAAACACACAAGUCUACCCCUUUGCGGAGAAAUGGUUUGUGGUCUUUUACCAAACACAAAAGAGAAAUCCUUCAACAACUAAAACCUGGCACCACUCAAUAUUUGUUUACAGAAAGAAGUUGUGGUCAGUGUCUUCUUCAGUGUCUUUUUUAGUUUUUUGUUGCAGCACCACCACAGGCGAGGAGGUAAGCAGGCAUUUCAAAAGGUUUGGUUUGAUUGAUACAGAGUGGUGUGAAAUAGAACCGCAGCAGCUGAAAUUGGAACAAAUGUUGAAAUUUUGGUCCCCAAUCAAACAAAAUCUGACACUGAUCAGUUUUUGUUAACAUUUUGUGACGAAGGAAGUUGCGCUGGUCGUCUUCAGACGUUUUGUGUACAUUCCUUUAGUAGUUCUUAUUGCAGCGCCACCUCAGGUGACAGGGGAAACCAGUUUUCCAGUUAGUUUGGAUCAUUUGACAGUGUAGGGUGGAAGAGAACCUCAGCAGCUUAAAUUGGAAUAAAUGUUAACAUUUAUUUUCCCAAUCAAACUGAGUCUAACAGAUGUGAACUCACUCUGAAAUAUCUACCAGUCCAUCUUUUAAAAAAAAAGCUGAGAUGCUCAAAGCUCAAGAGCAAGUGCUGUAAAAUGUGGUUCUACAAUGUCUUGACUCAGAAGAGCUAAAUACAAAUGCAAAUCACACCAUUUCAAUUUUUUCUGUAUAAAUCCUUUUCAAUUCAUGUCACAAUACUGCACUAAAUUGUGUGGGUCGAUUGCAUGAACCUAGAUAAAACACAUCAAUGUUUGUGGUUCUAACCUGUUAAAAUGUGACAUUUUUUUCUUUUGAAAAGCACCAGAUAGGUGUCACUGUGAGUCAUUAGUCUGAAGAGCAGACUGUAUUAGGUGAAGUACCCAACAGCCUUUGUCUUGCACAUUUGUACUUUCGGUUUUGCAGAACUGCAUCUCAGCCCACUGUUAAGCCCCCUAUCUAUCACCUUUUGUUGUCCUCCUCUGUCCUCCAUGUGACAAUCAGACGUGACAGCUGUCAUUCAAGCUCUGCAACCACAACUCGUCUCCAGACUGUGUGUUCUGCCUCCUCGAUAAACACGCAGAGAAUUAGAAACCGAACCAGAGUUGCAUGUUUCUGUUGCCGCCUCUCAGUCUCUGCAGGCUGGGCGCGACAUGGCCAUGUGCGACGUUUUCCCGAGGAUGAGUAGGCCACAGCAUGACAGAUCUGGGUCUCUCUUGACUUGCCGCUUGGCUGGUUGGCUGCUGCUUCCUCCUGUCCAUACCCAGCAGAUUACAAAGAGAGAGCAAAUUGGGUCUGAUAAUUAACAACCCACUUUGCUCUCGCUUACCUAGAAAGAUUGUUAUGAACCACACAGAUGAUUCAUAACAGAUGAGGUUUUAUGACCUCUGAAGGUCAUAUGAGUGAAUCCAAAUAUUUGCAUAAAUCAUGAAAGCCCUUCUCCUCUCUAUCUUUCUCUCUUUCUGCAUGCUGCUAUGUGUUGCAAACACACACGUGAGCCUUUGUCUUUCACCCUCAAAGUGUGCUAAUAUUAGACCCAUGCUGAGGGCUGACUCUGUCUGGACACAAACAGUGAUAAAUGGGCUUGGAUGGCGUGUGUGUGAGCGUGUGUGCACGGGUAGGGGGAAUUUUAAAAUGAAUGCUGUCAUCGUGUUUUGGAGAGGUGUCUGUGAAGAGAUGCAGGGUGUUGUAGAUCCAGAUGUGCAGUGUUCUACAGCUGUGCAAAAAUAAAAUAGAAAAACGCCAUAAUGCACCGCCUGGCAGACAGCAGUCAAAGAGGAUUAGCCGGGUGCAGACUCAGUCGGUCGAUCAGUUCAUAAGAGAGAGAGAGAAAAAGAAGGAAAGCAGAGGGCAGUGUGGUCCUGGGGAUUUUUCUAUUUUUUUCCCUCCUCAUCCAGUCUUUCAUGCCCCGUCGCUUAUUUGAGCUUCCAGCCGACUGUACGUCGUCGCUCUCCUUUGCUUCCCUCCAUCUGUCCCUCCCCCAUCAUCUCUUCUCUUUUUCACCCUCCUCCCACUCUCUCUCGUCCUCCCUUUCUCUUUCUCUCUAUACCAAAGCCGGGGGGAGCAGGCAGAGAUUAAAUGUAGUCUCUAUAAGCCAAAGCACAUCACAUAGCAAUGUUUCUGUGGCCCCGUCCCUCUGCUUCUCCUCGGAGGAUGGGGGAAUGAUAAGAGGACGUAGAGAAAGAUCAGGCCGCAAAUGUGGAAUUUUGAAAAAUCCACUUUGUUUUCUUUUUUGCAUGCAAGCAGAAGGAUACAGAUAAAUGGUUUCCUUGGAGGCACAUGGACAGCAGCAAGGUGGACUACUCUUCCUCCCAAGCUCACCUUCCUCUCCCUCUGUCUCCCUCUUUCUCCCGUUCUGGCCUUAUGCAGAGGAAAAGAGGGCCUCUGGCUGUAAGUGAUCACAGCUGUGAGGCAAAUUAAAUGAUGAUCUUUCACUCUCCUCUUCCUCCGCUUUUCAAAUGCCCCCCUCCACGUUCACCCCAUCCUGUCACCCUCCAGAAGGCGUGGAGGAAGAAAUGGAGGAGGGUGAGAAAGGUAAAAGUAGAAAGCUUGAGAGAGAAAGGUAGAAUGUGAGUGAGGCAGGGGGAGGAGAUGAAGAGGGUGGAGAGAGUGUGUGUUUUUUUCUUUCAGUCUUCCCUCCUUCCACCUCUGCAUGUGAUUGAGGAAGAAAACAAUGCGAGGGAAAGGGUGAGGAGGAGAGAAAGCAGAGCAAGACAAGAGAUCAGCAGGCACAGUGUUUUUUUUCCUUUAACCUGGAGCUGUGGGCGUGUGCGUGCGUGUGUUUUAAUGUGCGUGUCCAUGCACGGGUUUUUGUUGUCCUCUCUCUUGCCCACCUGCUUUGGACCUGCAGGUCUGGAUGAAAACAGGCAGAGAGCAAAAGGAGCACUGGGCGGUGAGGGCAUCCUGGACCCAAAGGGGGGGGUAGCACGAUUUUCCCUUGAUAGGAAAAGGACUCUGCUUUGAUAGCAGCUUACUAAAUGGCAAGUCUUUUACUUGGUACAUUUAGUCCCAGUUUGAUUUUGGGACAUCACUGAUUUUGGGCCAAUUUCUAAUCUCCAGUUUUUGUGAGGCUUUCAUGGCAGCUUUGAACUAUAGCAGAUAAAAAUAUAGAAGUAACAUUCAAAAUAUCUUAUUGGCCUUCCUGCUUUGAAUGGUCAUCAUUAUUGGUUGGUAAUUAUUUAUAUUGGAAGCAGAGGCAACAUCACACUGUGUGUUGGAGACAGGAGUCAGUAUCUGGCCUUGCCAUUGACCACAAUGUUACAGUGCAAAUUGGAAUUAUAACAAUAAACGGAAACUAUUUAAUUCUGAAAAUAUGACAUUUUUGGUAAUAGGUUUUUUGCGCUAGAAUGCGGUGGUAUUGUGGCUAUUUUGAAAUAGAUGUAUUUAUUGCAAUGUAAACAUUAUUUUGCAUUACACAAGUUAUGCAAUCAACAACCAGAUGUUACUACUGCAAAAAAGGAUGGCAGAAAGUAGUAGUAUAUUUUGGGAUUAUGCACAGUUGGCUCUACCAGACACAGCAUUGAAAAAUUCAUCAAAAGUUGAGUUUGUCAUUUUAAAGAGUUGAAUCUAUAGCUCUUCUGUAAUUUCCCAAAAACGCUGCACCCACAUGUAACAGACAUGUCACUCCACUGUCUCAAUAAUGGUUGAGGAUGAGUGCUAGUGCCAUAGCUGAAUUCUGAAUAUAUCUCAUGUAAGUCUUGCCACCAUCAUUUUGAAUUACUUUUUGAGCGAACAAACUUAUUCACAUGUGAUUUUAAUCAUUUUAAUGGAAACACUGUGUUUUCAAAAUUGAGUGUUUUUUUUCAUAUGUAGAAUUUGUAAUGGAAACACAGCUACUAUAAAUGAAAAUUAAAAUUGUAUUUCUUUAUUUAAAAUUUUACAAUAAAUUUUGACAUUUCUAAUGUCAAAAUUGAUUUCACAUUAGAAAUUGUCUUUAGACUCUUAUAUAAGCACCACGAGCAUUACUAACUUGAAAUGGGAGUUACCUUUCUUCACCAAAAGAGUGCUGGCAAUUUAAAAUAUAACAUUUUCUAUGACAGACAAACAUUGAAAGCUAAAGAAAAUAAAACCUUUGCUUGACUUCAUUCAGCCUUUCCGUUAUCUACUGAAAAUCUUGCUUUCUUUGCCUCUCUCAAGUCUUAAAAGAACCAUAGAUAUGUCUCAGUAGGUUGAGGAGAUCAACCUAUUGCUUUUUGUCACUGAUACUGGAAAUAGCUAGCAUUGAAUCCUUUUCACUCAGAACCAACAUCCACUCCAAAUAGUGUUACCAACCUGCUACUUUGAUGUGUUUACUACAUGGUAAAUGAUUGGAUGUUGGAUGUCCCCACUAGCCAGUUCCCAGUCAGGCCUGGCCAUUUCUUGAUCAGAUCUAAUAGCAGCACAUUUUAAACAGCUGCACUUUAUUUAAAGCAUGAAUCUUAGCUAUUUGUCACCUCUGGUCUAUAUGGUAUGUAACAAGGAGAUUGAUGAUAAUCUAUCUUCACUGAUAGUUCUCUUUCUGUGAAAGAAGGGUCUUAGACAUCUAUGUGUUUUGUAGGAUUUUAGCAAAUGCAAAUCCCUUAUAUUUUAUUUGUAGCAAUGCCUUCCAACUUUUAUUUUUCCAGAUAUCCAGUUGACUGUAGAAAUAACAGUUAACUGGCUCCUACAUAUCUGUGGUGAUAAAAGUUAAUUUAUUUUAAUACCCACUAUUUUUUGCUUUAAAAUGUUAUCUACAGAACCAUGGGUUACAGCAACAACAGUUAGAUGUAAAAUGCUAAUGUGUUCAAACUGUAAGCUUUGAUCAGGAGAUGCAGUCAUGUUGCUAGUCAACCAGAAUAGAUUUUGAUUUGAAUCCCAUCUGCACUGCUAAUCUGCCGUUUUAGUACUUCUCUCAUUCCUGUCUUUUCCUUUCAUCUUAAAACCAUUUCUUAUUGCCCCAGCCAAAGCAAACAGUCACCUGCAGUGAUAAAAUGUCUAUCCGGUGUUCUCCAUUGUUCCGCUCCUUCAAAUGCUGUUGGUACACAGUGUCCCCAUAACUUAGUCAGACAUGAAGGACUGCCACACAGACAGCCAGACUGACUGGUGGGCAUGCACCCACUACGAUAAGCUGCUUGAUUACCUCUGCAUUGCCUGAACCCUUUCUCCGAUAGGUAAAUUAGGUGAUCUGUUGAGUUGCGUUUGCAUCAGCCAAAUUUAGAUCAGAUCAAGCCUGAAUGCUUUUCCAUGUGUGUGUUUUUUGUCACAGCAACUUUAGAUGUGUCAGUCAGCAAUGAAACCUGGCAUAGAAAAGCUUGAGCAGCAGAGCAGUCCCAGACCAAAGCCAGCCCACAAUUCAGCUAUUGUUAGUGUUUUCAGUCAAAAUGCAUCUUUGUGCCGCUAAAUAUCAGCUACCCCACGGUCAGUGCUUUUGAAUGGAAGCAGAGAGGAGUUUAAGCUCAGGCUGAUGUGUGUAACAGUAUGUUUUCAUAGAAAAAUCUUCUGUGCAUAUCUGUAUGGCAGUGAAUUAACUGACCAGAUUAUUCAAUAAAUAGUGUCAGUCUGGUCAGGAUGACACUAUGCUUUUUGUCGUGUUGAGUUUUCACUCACCAUUCUGCUGUGUCUUUUCUGUCACUCCCUUCAGCAGGCUGUCUGCUGUCGGCUGCAGACAGGACAGCCUUAAACAUCAAUACCCAGAACUGGUCAGUGGGUAACUGUCUGAUUUCUAUAAUAUCUUUUAACAUGCCAGGGGCUUUUUGUUCUUUUUGUGUGUGUUUGCGGAACAGUUCUUGCUGGAGAAUGAUUUCGAGUCCCGUCUUCCUAGUCUUUCACUGAAACAAGAUGGUGCCACGCCUCCACAUGGGUCUUUCCUCUCCAAAUAAUGCCCACUACACGUGCCUCUAGUUGUUGCUUCUGCAGAGGUCAUGUUUUUUAUAAUGCAUGCACACCUGGGGCCUAUUUACUUACCACAUACCUGAAAUUGCGGAAGCUCUUCUGCUCUGAGCUGAGAGGAGGAAUUAGGGCAGAUCAAACACUUUUAUUGUUCUCCUUUCCCAUCCUCACUGCCCAUUAGCUGCCAAAUAAGCUUUUUUUUUGUCUUCUGUGUGGCAAUGUUAGCAGUGUUAACAAUCGCACACGCAGACACACCCCUACACACGCAGGAAGGUAAUAACUGUUCCUGAUGUUUUUAUACCAUAAACUGAGGUAAUACUGAUUGAAUGUUCAGACAGGAACUCUGGGGCUAUGACAAAAAGAUUAGCAUUGCUGCAACCAGUGUAGUACUCGAGACGGGUCUUGGUCUCGAGACCAUUUUUUGAUGGUCUCAGUCUUGGGUGCUGAGGACUCGGGACUUUAUUUCAAGACCAGUCAAGACCGCAACUGUGGAAGUAUCACUAAACUUACUGCAUACUGUCCAGUUUAUUUGUUAACGUGUUUGUUUUCACUGGAUGCAAAAUGCACCGAUUAAAAUCCAAGCAAUAACGUGACUUACAAAUUACGUGUUUCUGUUACUCUCCCUUCUCCCUCCCCACCUUUCACUCCCACACAGCGCUCCAAGACAUGCGCAGUGGGUAUUUUUGAGCGGCAGAAGAUGUCUGUCUUCAUCAGUAAUAGAAUUGCGCUGCAUAAAUCUUUAAAAAUCUGAUGGCGACAGCUAACUCAGCAGCGCUUCGCUUUCACAGACGGUGGGGACUACGUCUAACUUUUUUUGUCACUUAGAAAAGAAGCUCAAAGACGUUGACGUGAUGUUAGCAAAGUUAGCUGUACAGAGACACAUAAGCAUUUGUGAUGAAAAAAAAAGUCACUCAUUGCGCUGAAUUAUUGUGUGAAGGUGUUGACUAAUGUGUCACAUAUAUGGGACAACACUGUGUCCAAAAGUCUGCAAUAUAGUGAUGUGACAUUCAUGAACGAUCCGAGUCUUCUGAACUUUUCUUUACUAAGAAGCAGUGACGUGCGGGGAGGUUCGUAGCCGGUUAGGCAAUGACUUAAUCAUAAUCAUAUUUACAAAUAUAUACCCCCUGCAUGUUAUUGUUUACAUAAGGAAAUUCCACGCAAAGCUGGAGGGCAAAAGGACUAUUCUUUUACAUGUCAUAGCUGCACUGCCGCCGUAAAAUAAUUCUGUUAACUCAAUCAAACUUGGACUUGUAGACAGUAUUAAUUUUGUGCUCCACAGCAAAGGGAAAAACCGUUUAAGGACAACUCAAAACCACGUCUUUCACGCUCUCUGUAUCAGCGUAGCUACGCGUAGACUUGUUGCCAUAGAAACUGACAACAACGCCACAAAAAAAAAAAAACACUCAGCUAUUUCCCACACAAAGAGCAGAACAUUCAGUCUAUUGCAAUACUAUGGUUUUAGGCUUAGUGUUUAUUUUGGGGUUAUUAAUAUGUGAUUGCUGUGGUAAGAGGAGAAAUCUCUAAACAUAUCGCUGCACUUGACUUUACUGUAUGGCUAGCUCGCUGUUACUGUCUCUUACUCUGCAGUUGUGGAGUCUCAAUGUCUGGGAUCAUGAGCGCCCCCUGCCAUGAGGCAAGAAAACUGCCUGCCUCACCUCGAAUCUGUUCUCUGUCGUUUCUGAUCGCUUCUCAGCACACAAAACAUGUUACACACACAGUUGGUGACAAAAAAAACAAAA